Syngnathus acus (greater pipefish) is the source of this 220-nucleotide long non-coding RNA. RefSeq lists it as uncharacterized. NCBI's taxonomy places the organism in Eukaryota, Metazoa, Chordata, Actinopteri, Syngnathiformes, Syngnathidae. The transcript is spliced from 3 exons. The record is from RefSeq and is a predicted model, not a curated record.
UUUCUCCAGAAAUUGCAAUUCUAGUUAUUAUUAUUAUUCAACUUAUUCCUCCCACUUUUUUGGCACCUAACUAGUCCCACAUGCUUUAACCAAUUCACCCCGUUCCAACUUACACACAUUCCAAAAAUUCACGUGACGCUUGCUACUAUUUUUUUUGUUCAUAACAUUUACCGUUUUUGCGUAAUUAGCAAAUUUGUGGCUUAAAAUUCCCCAUUCAUUC